CGGCCGGACAAGUCCGUUGGGAAAUCCACGCGCUCAACGCGUGGGCGGCCAGCGGAAACUGUCCGGCUUGGGGCCGGAAGAACCGAGGGGUACGUCCGGGGUAGGAGUGAAAUCCCGUAAUCCUGGACGGACCGCCGGUGGCGAAAGCGCCUCGGGAGGACGGACCCGACGGUGAGGGACGAAAGCCAGGGUCUCGAACCGGAUUAGAUACCCGGGUAGUCCUGGCCGUAAACGAUGUCUGCUAGGUGUGGCGCAGGCUACGAGCCUGCGCUGUGCCGUAGGGAAGCCGUGAAGCAGACCGCCUGGGAA
This 309-nucleotide ribosomal RNA is filed under the name uncultured archaeon. RNAcentral describes it as "bacterial SSU rRNA". It matches the Rfam family "Archaeal small subunit ribosomal RNA", at positions 526 to 834 of the family's 1478-position model. The record is from RNAcentral.